CGACGCCGCCCGGACGCCAUCGACCGGGACCUCUCAGCUGUCACAGCAAGGUCACCGCCGGCGCCUCCUCCAAGAUCUCCUCUAAUUCUGCCCUUUGAAGAAGGCUUGAUCAAUUGCGAUGUCGUUGACCCGGACCUCAUCCUCAAGCUCGAGUGGAACCACUUCUCCGCCUAGACAGCAUACCUUAGUUUCUGGUGAAGGACAUAUCUUAAACAGGGACGUCUUUGCUGGGUUGGAGACUUGGGAGGAUCCCACUCCUAGACCAUCAACUUUUACUCUCAAGGAGCUGGAUGAUGCCUGGGUUGCUAAUGCAA
Lolium rigidum is the source of this 314-nucleotide long non-coding RNA. RefSeq lists it as uncharacterized. The transcript has 3 exons. Lineage: Eukaryota; Viridiplantae; Streptophyta; Magnoliopsida; Poales; Poaceae. The record is from RefSeq and is a predicted model, not a curated record.